GACGAACGUUGGCGGCGUGCUUAAUACAUGCAAGUCAACUGAAGCAGUGGUAGCAAUAUCGCUGUGGAGGUGGCGCACGGGUGAGUAACACGUAGGUAAUCUGCCUUCAGGUCUGGCAUAACUCCGGGAAACCGGGGCUAAUAGCAGAUGAUGCAGCGGCUCGACAUCGAGACAGUUGUUAAAGCUAUGGCGCCUGAAGAUGAGCCUGCGUCUGAUUAGCUAGUUGGCGGGGUAACGGCCCACCAAGGCAACGAUCAGUAGCUGGUCUGAGAGGAUGAUCAGCCACACUGGAACUGAGACACGGUCCAGACUCCUACGGGAGGCAGCAGUAAGGAAUAUUGCUCAUUGGGAGAAAUCCUGAAGCAGCAACGCCGCGUGAGGGACGAAGGGCUUUUGCUUGUAAACCUCUGUAGUGAGAGAAAAAAAUCCCAAUCUUUGGGACAUGAUGGUAUCUCAAAAGUAAGCCCCGGCUAACUACGUG
This 481-nucleotide ribosomal RNA is filed under the name uncultured bacterium. RNAcentral's name for it is "partial 16S ribosomal RNA". It matches the Rfam family "Bacterial small subunit ribosomal RNA", at positions 28 to 507 of the family's 1533-position model. The record is from RNAcentral.